RNAcentral lists this ribosomal RNA (492 nucleotides) under uncultured bacterium. RNAcentral's name for it is "partial 16S ribosomal RNA". It matches the Rfam family "Bacterial small subunit ribosomal RNA", at positions 29 to 507 of the family's 1533-position model. The record is from RNAcentral.
AGUGAACGCUGGCGGUAGGCCUAACACAUGCAAGUCGAACGGCAGCACAGUAAGAGCUUGCUCUUACGGGUGGCGAGUGGCGGACGGGUGAGGAAUACAUCGGAAUCUACUUUUUCGUGGGGGAUAACGCAGGGAAACUUACGCUAAUACCGCAUACGACCUACGGGUGAAAGUAGGGGAUCUUCGGACCUUGCGCGAUUGAAUGAGCCGAUGUCGGAUUAGCUAGUUGGCGGGGUAAAGGCCCACCAAGGCGACGAUCCGUAGCUGGUCUGAGAGGAUGAUCAGCCACACUGGAACUGAGACACGGUCCAGACUCCUACGGGAGGCAGCAGUGGGGAAUAUUGGACAAUGGGCGCAAGCCUGAUCCAGCCAUACCGCGUGGGUGAAGAAGGCCUUCGGGUUGUAAAGCCCUUUUGUUGGGAAAGAAAAGCAGCAGGUUAAUACCCCGCUGUUCUGACGGUACCCAAAGAAUAAGCACCGGCUAACUUCGUG